Molecule: ribosomal RNA, 433 nt
Filed under: uncultured bacterium
Lineage: Bacteria
Description: partial 16S ribosomal RNA
Rfam family: Bacterial small subunit ribosomal RNA
Source: RNAcentral
AACGAACGCUGGCGGCAUGCCUAACACAUGCAAGUCGAACGAGACCUUCGGGUCUAGUGGCGCACGGGUGCGUAACGCGUGGGAACCUGCCCUUAGGUUCGGAAUAACUCCCCGAAAGGGGUGCUAAUACCGGAUAAUGUCUUCGGACCAAAGAUUUAUCGCCUUUGGAUGGGCCCGCGUUGGAUUAGCUAGUUGGUAGGGUAAAAGCCUACCAAGGCGACGAUCCAUAGCUGGUCUGAGAGGAUGAUCAGCCACACUGGGACGGAGACACGGCCCAGACUCCUACGGGAGGCAGCAGUGGGGAAUAUUGGAAAAUGGGCGAAAGUCUGAUCCAGCAAUGCCGCGUGAGUGAUGAAGGCCUUAGGGUUGUAAAGCUCUUUUAACCGGGAUGAUAAUGACAGUACCGGGAGAAUAAGCUCCGGCUAACUCCGUG